UACGUAGGGGGCAAGCGUUAUCCGGAUUUAUUGGGUUUAAAGGGUGCGCAGGCGGAAGAUUAAGUCGGCGGUGAAAUUUUGCAGCUCAACUGUAAAAGUGCCAUCGAUACUGGUUUUCUUGAGUGUAGAUGAAGUAGGCGGAAUUUGUGGUGUAGCGGUGAAAUGCUUAGAUAUCACGAGGAACUCCGAUUGCGCAGGCAGCUUACUAAACUACUACUGACGCUCAGGCACGAAGGCGUGGGGAUCAAACAGGAUUAGAUACCCGGGUAGUCCCU
This 275-nucleotide ribosomal RNA is filed under the name uncultured prokaryote. RNAcentral's name for it is "partial 16S ribosomal RNA". It matches the Rfam family "Bacterial small subunit ribosomal RNA", at positions 524 to 798 of the family's 1533-position model. The record is from RNAcentral.